RNAcentral lists this ribosomal RNA (274 nucleotides) under uncultured bacterium. Its description in RNAcentral is "partial 16S ribosomal RNA". It matches the Rfam family "Bacterial small subunit ribosomal RNA", at positions 523 to 796 of the family's 1533-position model. The record is from RNAcentral.
AUACGGAGGGUGCAAGCGUUAAUCGGAAUUACUGGGCGUAAAGCGUACGUAGGCGGUUUAUUAAGUCAGAUGUGAAAGCCCCGGGCUUAACCUGGGAACUGCAUUUGAAACUAGUAGACUAGAGUAUGAUAGAGGGGGGUAGAAUUCCUAGUGUAGCGGUGAAAUGCGUAGAUAUUAGGAGGAAUACCAGUGGCGAAGGCGGCCCCCUGGACCAAUACUGACGCUGAGGUACGAAAGCGUGGGGAGCGAACAGAAUUAGAAACCCCGGUAGUCC